GGAGACCGCACCUUCUAAAGGUUCCACGAUUUCUUAAGCAGUGCCGAUAUCUGGGGGCCAAGUGUUCCAGUGCACAAGCCUCUGAAGGACUUCACACUCAAACCAUAGCAGACAGGAGUUGAUCCCUGGGCGUGUGCACCUGAGUAUAUUGUCUAAGAAGACCAGAAGGUGGCACUGAAUCUCCUGGGCUGGAGUUACAGGUACCCCGAUUCUUUCAAAGAUGGCCAAAAUACCAUCUCUAUUUGGAGAUAAUAAUUAGUAUCAUCUUCACUGGCUUCCUCUUGAAUGUAGAGGGAAUUACUGGAUGAAUAAACAGGAACAUGGUGGCCAUGUGGCCUGUUGCUCCCAAGUACUACUUGGAGACCAGCCUGGCAUGGAAAUGACCAGAUGUUUGAAGCUGAGCUACUGGCAACAAAAAAAGUUGAGAUGAAACUGAAAGAGACCAGAGAUGACCACAGCAGUCUUCAGCAUCUGCCACUGCGCCUUCCUAGUCAGCAUUGCAGAAGAAGCCAUUUGAGCUAGGGAUUAUGCCGGUGUCAUUUCUCACAAAGUCAUCCAAUC
This is a long non-coding RNA of Mastomys coucha (southern multimammate mouse), 561 nucleotides long. RefSeq lists it as uncharacterized. The record is from RefSeq and is a predicted model, not a curated record. NCBI's taxonomy places the organism in Eukaryota, Metazoa, Chordata, Mammalia, Rodentia, Muridae. The transcript has 4 exons.